AACGAACGCUGGCGGCAGGCUUAACACAUGCAAGUCGAACGGUCUCUUCGGAGGCAGUGGCAGACGGGUGAGUAACGCGUGGGAACAUACCUUUCGGUACGGAACAACAGUUGGAAACGACUGCUAAUACCGUAUACGCCCUGAGGGGGAAAGAUUUAUCGCCGAGAGAUUGGCCCGCGUUGGAUUAGCUAGUUGGUGGGGUAAUGGCCUACCAAGGCGACGAUCCAUAGCUGGUCUGAGAGGAUGAUCAGCCACACUGGGACUGAGACACGGCCCAGACUCCUACGGGAGGCAGCAGUGGGGAAUAUUGGACAAUGGGCGCAAGCCUGAUCCAGCCAUGCCGCGUGAGUGAUGAAGGCCUUAGGGUUGUAAAGCUCUUUCGCCGGUGAAGAUAAUGACGGUAACCGGUAAAGAAGCCCCGGCUAACUUCGUGCCAGCAGCCGCGGUAAGUCACUAUCGA
This 460-nucleotide ribosomal RNA is filed under the name uncultured bacterium. RNAcentral describes it as "bacterial SSU rRNA". It matches the Rfam family "Bacterial small subunit ribosomal RNA", at positions 29 to 532 of the family's 1533-position model. The record is from RNAcentral.